This 174-nucleotide ribosomal RNA is filed under the name uncultured rumen bacterium. RNAcentral's name for it is "partial 16S ribosomal RNA". It matches the Rfam family "Bacterial small subunit ribosomal RNA", at positions 353 to 524 of the family's 1533-position model. The record is from RNAcentral.
AGUGAGGAAUAUUGGUCAAUGGGCGCGAGCCUGAACCAGCCAAGUAGCGUGCAGGACGACGGCCCUAUGGGUUGUAAACUGCUUUUAUGCGGGGAUAAAGUGAGGGACGUGUCCCUUAUUGCAGGUACCGCAUGAAUAAGGACCGGCUAAUUCCGUGCCAGCAGCCGCGGUAAU